CAGGCUUAACACAUGCAAGUCGAGGGGCAGCAUGGUCUUAGCUUGCUAAGGCCGAUGGCGACCGGCGCACGGGUGAGUAACACGUAUCCAACCUGCCGUCUACUCUUGGACAGCCUUCUGAAAGGAAGAUUAAUACAAGAUGGCAUCAUGAGUCCGCAUGUUCACAUGAUUAAAGGUAUUCCGGUAGACGAUGGGGAUGCGUUCCAUUAGAUAGUAGGCGGGGUAACGGCCCACCUAGUCUUCGAUGGAUAGGGGUUCUGAGAGGAAGGUCCCCCACAUUGGAACUGAGACACGGUCCAAACUCCUACGGGAGGCAGCAGUGAGGAAUAUUGGUCAAUGGGCGAGAGCCUGAACCAGCCAAGUAGCGUGAAGGAUGACUGCCCUAUGGGUUGUAAACUUCUUUUAUAAAGGAAUAAAGUCGGGUAUGCAUACCCGUUUGCAUGUACUUUAUGAAUAAGGAUCGGCUAACUCCGUGCCAGCAGCCGCGGUAAUACGGAGGAUCCGAGCGUUAUCCGGAUUUAUUGGGUUUAAAGGGAGCGUAGAUGGAUGUUUAAGUCAGUUGUGAAAGUUUGCGGCUCAACCGUAAAAUUGCAGUUGAUACUGGAUAUCUUGAGUGCAGUUGAGGCAGGCGGAAUUCGUGGUGUAGCGGUGAAAUGCUUAGAUAUCACGAAGAACUCCGAUUGCGAAGGCAGCCUGCUAAGCUGCAACUGACAUUGAGGCUCGAAAGUGUGGGUAUCAAACAGGAUUAGAUACCCUGGUAGUCCACACGGUAAACGAUGAAUACUCGCUGUUUGCGAUAUACAGCAAGCGGCCAAGCGAAAGCGUUAAGUAUUCCACCUGGGGAGUACGCCGGCAACGGUGAAACUCAAAGGAAUUGACGGGGGCCCGCACAAGCGGAGGAACAUGUGGUUUAAUUCGAUGAUACGCGAGGAACCUUACCCGGGCUUAAAUUGCAGAUGAAUUACGGUGAAAGCCGUAAGCCGCAAGGCAUCUGUGAAGGUGCUGCAUGGUUGUCGUCAGCUCGUGCCGUGAGGUGUCGGCUUAAGUGCCAUAACGAGCGCAACCCUUGUUGUCAGUUACUAACAGGUUCCGCUGAGGACUCUGACAAGACUGCCAUCGUAAGAUGUGAGGAAGGUGGGGAUGACGUCAAAUCAGCACGGCCCUUACGUCCGGGGCUACACACGUGUUACAAUGGGGGGGUACAGAGGGCCGCUACCACGCGAGUGGAUGCCAAUCCCCAAAACCUCUCUCAGUUCGGACUGGAGUCUGCAACCCGACUCCACGAAGCUGGAUUCGCUAGUAAUCGCGCAUCAGCCACGGCGCGGUGAAUACGUUCCCGGGCCUUGUACACACCGCCCGUCAAGCCAUGGGAGCCGGGGGUACCUGAAGUGCGUAACCACGAGGAGCGCCCUAGGGUAAAACUGGUGACUGG
RNAcentral lists this ribosomal RNA (1432 nucleotides) under uncultured organism. Its description in RNAcentral is "16S ribosomal RNA". It matches the Rfam family "Bacterial small subunit ribosomal RNA". The record is from RNAcentral.